ACAUUGGAGAUAAAUGAGUUGG
Molecule: microRNA, 22 nt
Filed under: Lotus japonicus
Lineage: Eukaryota; Viridiplantae; Streptophyta; Magnoliopsida; Fabales; Fabaceae
Description: lja-miR11108g-5p
Source: miRBase by way of RNAcentral